RNAcentral lists this ribosomal RNA (161 nucleotides) under uncultured bacterium. Its description in RNAcentral is "partial 16S rRNA". It matches the Rfam family "Bacterial small subunit ribosomal RNA", at positions 358 to 511 of the family's 1533-position model. The record is from RNAcentral.
GGAAUCUUCCACAACGGACGCAAGUCUGAUGGAGCAACGCCGCGUGAGUGAAGAAGGGUUUCGGCUCGUAAAGCUCUGUUGUUAAAGGAGAACGUGGGUAAGAGUAACUGUUUACCCAGUGACGGUAUUUAACCAGAAAGCCACGGCUAACUACGUGCCAG